Molecule: ribosomal RNA, 1073 nt
Filed under: Enterococcus mundtii
Lineage: Bacteria; Bacillati; Bacillota; Bacilli; Lactobacillales; Enterococcaceae
Description: bacterial SSU rRNA
Rfam family: Bacterial small subunit ribosomal RNA
Source: RNAcentral
GGGGCGGGCGUGCUAUACAUGCAGUCGAACGCUUCUUUUCCCACCGGAGCUUGCUCCACCGGGAAAAGAGGAGUGGCGAACGGGUGAGUAACACGUGGGUAACCUGCCCAUCAGAAGGGGAUAACACUUGGAAACAGGUGCUAAUACCGUAUAACAAUCGAAACCGCAUGGUUUCGUUUUGAAAGGCGCUUUACGGUGCCGCUGAUGGAUGGACCCGCGGUGCAUUAGCUAGUUGGUGAGGUAACGGCUCACCAAGGCCACGAUGCAUAGCCGACCUGAGAGGGUGAUCGGCCACAUUGGGACUGAGACACGGCCCAAACUCCUACGGGAGGCAGCAGUAGGGAAUCUUCGGCAAUGGACGAAAGUCUGACCGAGCAACGCCGCGUGAGUGAAGAAGGUUUUCGGAUCGUAAAACUCUGUUGUUAGAGAAGAACAAGGGUGAGAGUAACUGUUCACCCCUUGACGGUAUCUAACCAGAAAGCCACGGCUAACUACGUGCCAGCAGCCGCGGUAAUACGUAGGUGGCAAGCGUUGUCCGGAUUUAUUGGGCGUAAAGCGAGCGCAGGCGGUUUCUUAAGUCUGAUGUGAAAGCCCCCGGCUCAACCGGGGAGGGUCAUUGGAAACUGGGAGACUUGAGUGCAGAAGAGGAGAGUGGAAUUCCAUGUGUAGCGGUGAAAUGCGUAGAUAUAUGGAGGAACACCAGUGGCGAAGGCGGCUCUCUGGUCUGUAACUGACGCUGAGGCUCGAAAGCGUGGGGAGCAAACAGGAUUAGAUACCCUGGUAGUCCACGCCGUAAACGAUGAGUGCUAAGUGUUGGAGGGUUUCCGCCCUUCAGUGCUGCAGCUAACGCAUUAAGCACUCCGCCUGGGAGUACGACCGCAAGGUUGAAACUCAAAAGGAAAUUGACGGGGGCCCGCACAGCGGUGGAGCAUGUGAAUUAAUUUCGAAGCAACGCGAGAUCCUUACCAGGUCUUGACAUCCUUUGACCACCUCUAGAGAAUAGAGCUUCCCCUCCGGGGGCAAGUGACAGUGUGCAUGCUGUCGUCAGCUCGUGUCGUGGAGAAUGUUUUGGG